GAUGAACGCUGGCGGCGUGCCUAAUACAUGCAAGUCGAGCGAACGGACGAGAAGCUUGCUUCUCUGAUGUUAGCGGCGGACGGGUGAGUAACACGUGGAUAACCUACCUAUAAGACUGGGAUAACUUCGGGAAACCGGAGCUAAUACCGGAUAAUAUUUUGAACCGCAUGGUUCAAAAGUGAAAGACGGUCUUGCUGUCACUUAUAGAUGGAUCCGCGCUGCAUUAGCUAGUUGGUAAGGUAACGGCUUACCAAGGCAACGAUGCAUAGCCGACCUGAGAGGGUGGUCGGCCACACUGGAACUGAGACACGGUCCAGACUCCUAAGGGAGGCAGCAGUAGGGAAUCUUCCGCAAUGGGCGAAAGCCUGACGGAGCAACGCCGCGUGAGUGAUGAAGGUCUUCGGAUCGUAAAACUCUGUUAUUAGGGAAGAACAUAUGUGUAAGUAACUGUGCACAUCUUGACGGUACCUAAUCAGAAAGCAACGGCUAACUACGUG
Molecule: ribosomal RNA, 497 nt
Filed under: uncultured bacterium
Lineage: Bacteria
Description: partial 16S ribosomal RNA
Rfam family: Bacterial small subunit ribosomal RNA
Source: RNAcentral